This is a long non-coding RNA of Ipomoea nil (Japanese morning glory), 100 nucleotides long. RefSeq lists it as uncharacterized. NCBI's taxonomy places the organism in Eukaryota, Viridiplantae, Streptophyta, Magnoliopsida, Solanales, Convolvulaceae. The transcript is spliced from 3 exons. The record is from RefSeq and is a predicted model, not a curated record.
AAAAACUUGAAUUGCAACGAGUGGCACGAAAUGGCUCUCUCAAAUGGGAGGUCAUGAGUGGAUCUCCAGUGAGGCGGUAUUAACUCUUUGUGUUUUAGUA